CACUGCCGAGAAAAGCCUCUAGAUAGAAAAUAGGUGCCCGUACCGCAAACCGACACAGGUAGUCAAGAUGAGAAUUCUAAGGUGAGCGAGCGAACUCUCGUUAAGGAACUCGGCAAAAUGACCCCGUAACUUCGGGAGAAGGGGUGCUCUUUAGGGUUAACGCCCAGAAGAGCCGCAGUGAAUAGGCCCAAGCGACUGUUUAUCAAAAACACAGGUCUCUGCUAAACCGUAAGGUGAUGUAUAGGGGCUGACGCCUGCCCGGUGCUGGAAGGUUAAGAGGAGUGGUUAGCUUCUGCGAAGCUACGAAUCGAAGCCCCAGUAAACGGCGGCCGUAACUAUAACGGUCCUAAGGUAGCGAAAUUCCUUGUCGGGUAAGUUCCGACCCGCACGAAAGGCGUAACGAUUUGGGCACUGUCUCAACGAGAGACUCGGUGAAAUCAUAGUACCUGUGAAGAUGCAGGUUACCCGCGAC
RNAcentral lists this ribosomal RNA (472 nucleotides) under Staphylococcus aureus. RNAcentral's name for it is "partial 23S ribosomal RNA". It matches the Rfam family "Bacterial large subunit ribosomal RNA", at positions 1603 to 2076 of the family's 2925-position model. The record is from RNAcentral. Lineage: Bacteria; Bacillati; Bacillota; Bacilli; Caryophanales; Staphylococcaceae.